AACGAACGCUGGCGGCAUGCCUAACACAUGCAAGUCGAACGAGACCCCCGGGCUUAGCGGCGCGCGGGUGCGUAACGCGUUGGAACCCGCGUUUAGAAUCGGCACCGCUAACCGAAAGAAGCGCUAAUAACGCAUAAUGAUUCCGGACCAACGGUUUAUCGCCCUUGUAUGGGCCUGCGUUGGAUUAGCUAGUUGGUAGGGUAAAAGCCUACCAAGGCGACGAUCCAUAGCUGGUCAGAGAGGAUGAUCAGCCACACUGGGACUGAGACACGGCCCAGACUCCUACGGGAGGCAGCAGUGGGGGACAUUGGACAGUGGGCGAGAGCCUGAUCCAGCAAUGCCGCGUGAGUGAUGAAGGCCUGAGGGUUGUAAAGCUCUUUUACCCGGGAUGAGAAUGACAGUACCGGGAGAAUAAGCUCCGGCUAACUCCGUG
This 433-nucleotide ribosomal RNA is filed under the name uncultured bacterium. RNAcentral describes it as "partial 16S ribosomal RNA". It matches the Rfam family "Bacterial small subunit ribosomal RNA", at positions 29 to 507 of the family's 1533-position model. The record is from RNAcentral.